Molecule: long non-coding RNA, 2178 nt
Filed under: Homo sapiens (human)
Lineage: Eukaryota; Metazoa; Chordata; Mammalia; Primates; Hominidae
Description: non-protein coding lnc-G6PC-2:1
Source: RNAcentral
UAUCUCCAGAACUAUGCCCUUUCUCAUUUUUCACCUGUGCUCUGCACAGCUAUAAGAUACUCUGCACAGCUUCUAGGAACUUCCAAAGGGUAAAUGAUCCCAAAUGUAAAGAUUUCAUCAACUGGUGAGUUAAUUUAUCCUCUAGUUAGGAGAUAGCUGAACUCAACCCGCUCUGUUGUUGUUGGUUGAGACAGGGUCUCACUCUCGCCCAGGCUGGAGUGCAGUGGCCCGAUCAUGGCUCGCUGCAGCCUCAACCUCCCAGGCUCAGAGGUUGUUUUGUUUUUGUUUUGUUUUGUUUUGUUUUGUUUUUGAGAUGGAGUCUCUCUCUGUCACCCAGGUUGGAGUGCAGUGGCGUGAUCUCGGCUCACUGCAACCUCUGCCUCCCAGGUUCAAGCGAUUCUCUUGCCUCAGCCUCCCAAGUAGCUGGGAUUACAGGUGCCCACCACCCUACCCAGCUAAUUUUUGUAUUUUUAGUAGAGACAGGGUUUUACCAUGUUGCCCAGGCUGGUCUCGAACUCCUAACCUCAGGUGAUCCACCCAUCUUGGCCUCCCAAAGUGCUGGGAUUACAGGCGUGAACCACCGCGCCCAGCCUCUAAUGAAGUUGUUAAGGUAAGAAUUUAUUAGCAAAGUGAACUUUAAAUCAUGUGUAAACUUUAAUAAUAGUUCAUUCCACUGUGUGUUUCCUUGCUUCCUGGUUGUCAAAUAUUAAUUCAUACCCAGGAUAUAUUAUUUUAAAAAUACGAUAUAGCCCCUAAAGCUUGCUGCAAAUAUCUAUCCACCUCCUAUUUCUUACAGUUCCUUGAUUCAAUGUCCUCUUAGUUUCUUGAUCUGACUGUUCAGUUUCGUAUUCUGAAUUCUUGUGUUCCACGUUUAAAAACAAAAACAAAAACAAAAAAAAACAACAAAAAAUGUGUGAGUAUUCUUCUGUAGAAAUGAGGUCUACAUUGCAGCCUGAUUCUGUAAUAGUAAUUGAAGAGUCAGUGUUACUUUUCUGUAAAUGUUUCUUUGGCAUCUCUGAUUUAUUUGGCUUCUGAAAUCUAAUUUCUUCCUCCUUCUUUGAAAAAGUAGGUCCCUUCCACUUGGUUUGUUGUGGUGAGCCCUGAGCAAUGCCUGGAGAUUGAUCUUCCAGCAGACAGUGGAAUGAUUCCAGGAAGGUUUUAGCACCCGGCCUGUCUUUGCAGCUCUGCAGUCCUCAAAGUCUCCAAACUCUGAUGCGAGCGUUCACAUUUUCCUGUGCACAGGGACAAAACUACGAAGACUUUUUGCUGCAAAACGAAAACCCAUUGGCUGAUCUACCUUGUAACUGCUAUCUACUUUAUAUACUCAAAUAGCUGUGUUUAGGAUCGAAAUGAUCAGGUCUGGAAUAUACUGCAGUAGAUACUGCAAUUCACAAGCAAUUUUACAGAAGAAGCACCCAACCCCGACUCUAAACUAUGUUUGCCUUUCCUCAAGAGUCACUUCUAAACUUUUUUUCACAACACACACUUUUCAUAGUUGUAACCUUUCCAUUUGGUGUUUUGUUUUGGGGUUUUUUGUCACUUAAAAUAAUCUAAUCUACACGUUCCCCAGAGCCAGCAGAGGCUACAUUCCUGUCAUUUAAAAUCAUUUGCUGGUGUUUUCCUUAUGUCACUAUACCAUAAUUUGCUGGGCCAUUUCCUUAUUUGGUAUUUGGAUUAUUUCCAAUUCUUCACUCUUAUAAAUAGCGGCACAUGAACAUCUUUGCACAAGUUACAUUUUUUCCCUUUUGGGUUAUUUCCUUGGGGUGUAUUCCCAAAACUGGUAUUGCUGGGUCAAAGGUUUGAAAAGUUUCAUAGCUCUUGUUACCCACUGCCAGAACGUUCUCCAGGCACAUUGUGGCAUGUUUGAGCAUUUCAAAUGUUUAAGUAGGUUUCCCACGACAUAAAAUAAUAUUAACCAUCUUUUUUUUCUGAUUUUUCCAUAAUCUUCAUGAGGGAAGGAAUUGCAAAAUUUCAAAACAAAAUAAAAAUAAAGAUGAAAAAGCGCUAUUUCUGUAGCCAGAGAUGAGCCCUUUUAGGCUAGCUUGAUUGUAAUGUCAACUGAUGAGGAUCUGAGACUGAGACAGUUUUCGGGAGAAUUUAAACCCUACUAGUGGCAAGCAAUUAGGAAAACUUGUUAAGAAGAGUAGAUAGGGAGGUGAAAAAUAAUAAAAAAGGUUG